This 107-nucleotide small nuclear RNA is filed under the name Carlito syrichta (Philippine tarsier). The record is from RNAcentral. Lineage: Eukaryota; Metazoa; Chordata; Mammalia; Primates; Tarsiidae.
GUGUUUGCUUUGGUAGCACAUAUGCUAAAAUUGGAAUGAUACAUAGAAGAUUAGCAUGGUCCCUGUGCAAGGAUGACAUGCAAAUUUGUGAAGCAUUUCAUAUUUUU